This 468-nucleotide ribosomal RNA is filed under the name uncultured bacterium. RNAcentral's name for it is "partial 16S ribosomal RNA". It matches the Rfam family "Bacterial small subunit ribosomal RNA", at positions 28 to 507 of the family's 1533-position model. The record is from RNAcentral.
GACGAACGCUGGCGGCGUGCUUAACACAUGCAAGUCGAACGGAAAGGCCCUGCUUUUGUGGGGUGCUCGAGUGGCGAACGGGUGAGUAACACGUGAGUAACCUGCCCUUGACUUUGGGAUAACUUCAGGAAACUGGGGCUAAUCCCGGAUAGGAGCUCCUGCUGCAUGGUGGGGGUUGGAACGUUUCGGCGGUUGGGGAUGGACUCGCGGCUUAUCAGCUUGUUGGUGGGGUAGUGGCUUACCAAGGCUUUGACGGGUAGCCGGCCUGAGAGGGUGACCGGCCACAAUGGGACUGAGAGACGGCCCAGACUCCUACGGGAGGCAGCAGUGGGGAAUAUGGCACAAUGGGCGGAAGCCUGAUGCAGCAACGCCGCGGGCGGGAUGACGGCCUUCGGGUUGUAAACCGCUUUCGCCUGUGACGAAGCGUGUGUGACGGUAAUGGGUAAAGAAGCACCGGCUAACUACGUG